GACUCCCACCAAGGAAAGGAACACUGCUGCCCUUCCAAUCAGCCUUCAAAAUGAUGGUGAAAUAAUGUAACAGGACCAGUCUUCUUUCAAAAUGCAGAGGGAAGGGAGCACCAUAACGCACCAGGAGGAAGGGCUGACUCCUUGCAGACCUUUUCUGUGCCUGCAUCUCUGUGUGUC
Passer domesticus (house sparrow) is the source of this 177-nucleotide long non-coding RNA. RefSeq lists it as uncharacterized. The transcript has 4 exons. The record is from RefSeq and is a predicted model, not a curated record. NCBI's taxonomy places the organism in Eukaryota, Metazoa, Chordata, Aves, Passeriformes, Passeridae.